UACGGAGGGGUGCAAGCGUUAUCCGGAUUCACUGGGUUAAAGGGUGCGUAGGUGGGCCCGUAAGUCAGUGGUGAAAUCUCCGAGCUUAACUCGGAAACUGCCAUUGAUACUAUAGGUCUUGAAUUAUCGUGGAGGUUAGCGGAAUAUGGUCAUGUAGCGGUGAAAUGCUUAGAUAUGACAUAGAACACCGAUUGCGGAAGGCAGCUGGCUACAGGUAUAUUGACACUGAAGGCACGGAAAGCGAUGGG
RNAcentral lists this ribosomal RNA (248 nucleotides) under uncultured bacterium. RNAcentral describes it as "partial 16S ribosomal RNA". It matches the Rfam family "Bacterial small subunit ribosomal RNA", at positions 524 to 766 of the family's 1533-position model. The record is from RNAcentral.